AAGAGGAAGUAAUUGAAAAUGUAUAAUUUACGACUUAUUAUCUUUCUGUCCGUAUGUCUGCAAAUAAAUUGUGUUUUAUUUGAUUUAUACAGUGGGAAAAAAGUUAAUGAAGAGCUCAAGAAACAACUUCGAUCACAAAAAGCCUUUGAGCAGUGUACAGUUGAUAUAAAGUCAUGCACAGUUCAAGAAGGAAGUCGAGUGAGCGGUACUUGUAAUAAUUACAAAUACCCAGCGGCUGGUGCUGCCGGUCGUCCAUACUUACGUCUCCUUAAGCCUGAUUAUGCCAACGGUCAGGAAAUAAGGACAGGCAGAAAUGGCAAGCCGUUACCGUCAGCUCGCAAAAUUCGUACAACUCUCGAAAGAGUUGGUUUCUUCCCGGAUACAAGUGCGUUCAAUGCGGCCGCUAUUCACUUCAUUGAGUUAAUCCAUAAAGAUUUAAGCGCUAUGAAUGGUCCUAUUGAUUUCAUUUAUAAAAGGCAGCACUGUUGUACAUCACAAAGUUCACAGGACACCAAAUG
Molecule: long non-coding RNA, 518 nt
Organism: Leptidea sinapis
Lineage: Eukaryota; Metazoa; Arthropoda; Insecta; Lepidoptera; Pieridae
Exons: 4
Source: RefSeq, a predicted model, not a curated record